RNAcentral lists this ribosomal RNA (587 nucleotides) under uncultured Methylophilaceae bacterium. Its description in RNAcentral is "bacterial SSU rRNA". It matches the Rfam family "Bacterial small subunit ribosomal RNA", at positions 338 to 916 of the family's 1533-position model. The record is from RNAcentral. Lineage: Bacteria; Pseudomonadati; Pseudomonadota; Betaproteobacteria; Nitrosomonadales; Methylophilaceae.
CCUACGGGAGGCAGCAGUGGGGAAUUUUGGACAAUGGGCGGAAGCCUGAUCCAGCCAUGCCGCGUGAGUGAAGAAGGCCUUCGGGUUGUAAAGCUCUUUCGCAAGGAAAGAAAACUUAUCUACUAAUACUAGAUGAGGAUGACGGUACCUUGAUAAGAAGCACCGGCUAACUACGUGCCAGCAGCCGCGGUAAUACGUAGGGUGCGAGCGUUAAUCGGAAUUACUGGGCGUAAAGCGAGCGCAGGCGGUUUUGUAAGUCAGAUGUGAAAGCCCCGGGUUCAACCUGGGAACUGCGUUUGAAACUACAAGGCUAGAGUAUGGGAGAGGGAGGUAGAAUUCCACGUGUAGCAGUGAAAUGCGUAGAGAUGUGGAGGAAUACCAAUGGCGAAGGCAGCCUCCUGGCCUAAUACUGACGCUCAUGCUCGAAAGCGUGGGGAGCAAACAGGAUUAGAUACCCUGGUAGUCCACGCCCUAAACGAUGUCAACUAGUUAUUGGUGGAGUAAAAUCCAUUAGUAACGCAGCUAACGCGUGAAGUUGACCGCCUGGGGAGUACGGUCGCAAGAUUAAAACUCAAAGGAAUUGACGG